Molecule: ribosomal RNA, 253 nt
Filed under: uncultured bacterium
Lineage: Bacteria
Description: partial 16S ribosomal RNA
Rfam family: Bacterial small subunit ribosomal RNA
Source: RNAcentral
UACAGAGGUCCCAAGCGUUGUUCGGAUUCACUGGGCGUAAAGGGUGCGUAGGUGGCUUGGUAAGUUUGAUGUGAAAUCUCCGGGCUUAACCCGGAAAUGGCAUUGAAUACUAUUGAGCUGGAGGUUUGGAGGGGGGACUGGAAUUCUCGGUGUAGCAGUGAAAUGCGUAGAUAUCGAGAGGAACACCAGUGGCGAAGGCGGCCAACUGGACAGAUACUGACGCUGAGACACGAAAGCGUGGGGAGCAAACAGG